CAAAACAUUUGUAAACUUCUUUAAAAAGUAAAUGUACAUUUAAUAUAACAUAUAUAUCUACGUUUAUGUAAGCCGAUCGUGCAAGGGCUAUAUAGCCAGUCAAGAUCGUUAAAUCUUCCAUUUGUUGUCUGUAGUGAGCAAAGCAUAUUUAUGCCUGCUCUUAAAAACACGUAUUAAAUGUUACCUUUCAAAGGAUUAUUCAUAGCUGAAAGCAAUUACAAUAUGGCCUAUAAAGCCCUAAACGAUAUAAUGGUUUAACCGAAGCCGAGAGAGUUAUUCCUGAAUGUAAAGUAAAUAAAAAAUAUUGUAACAGGAAAUGUUAUUAACAUAAAAUUUCGUGCUUUCUUGCACUGGCUACCGGUUUGGUGAUAUAUCCUCGUUGGCAACCUAAAAAAACGUUGAAAAGAUAAAAACAACACCCAGGAAAGCUGUUCUUUUCCCAGUCUCCCUGUAUAAGGUUGAUGAAUAUGCCAUAUUCCUUCUAAAGACGGCUUAUUUUGGAAGUCAUUGAAUGCUCCAUUUCUUAA
Molecule: long non-coding RNA, 527 nt
Filed under: Mytilus galloprovincialis (Mediterranean mussel)
Lineage: Eukaryota; Metazoa; Mollusca; Bivalvia; Mytilida; Mytilidae
Source: RNAcentral